This 206-nucleotide long non-coding RNA is filed under the name Elaeis guineensis (African oil palm). Its description in RNAcentral is "long non-coding RNA (EGUI_LNC024369)". The record is from RNAcentral. Lineage: Eukaryota; Viridiplantae; Streptophyta; Magnoliopsida; Arecales; Arecaceae.
GGUGCUGUUUUUGGUGAAUUUGGAAGAUGAGGGAGAGAGAACGGAGGAUAUUUAGUGUGGAAUUGGAUUUCAUAUUAUUAUUUUAUAUUAAUAUUAUUUUGCAUGCUCAACUACUUAUAGUUUAUUUUAUAUUUAUUACGUAAAUUUUUUAAUAUUACUGCUGAAAUUUAUAAAUUUUUUAUUAUUCCACUAGCACAAUGCAUACA